GAUGAAGAACGCAGCGAAAUGCGAUACGUAAUGUGAAUUGCAGAAUUCAGUGAAUCAUCGAAUCUUUGAACGCAUAUUGCGCCCUCUGGUAUUCCGGAGAGCAUGCUUGUUUGAGUAUCAGUAAACACCUCAACUCCCUUUUCUUUUUUGAAAUUGGAGCUGGACUUGAGUGAUCCCAACGCUUUCUUCCAAGAAAGUGGCGGGUUGCUUGAAAUGCAGGUGCAGCUGAACUUUUCUCUGAGCUAUAAGCAUAUCUAUUUAGUCUGCCUAAAAAACAGAUUAUUACCUUUGCUGCAGCUAACAUAAAGGAGACUAGUUCUUGUGCUGACUGAUGCAGGAUUCACAGAGACAGCUUCGGCUGACUUUGUAAACUCGAUCUCAAAUCAAGUAAGACUACCCGCUGAACUUAAGCAUAUCAAUAAGCGGAGGA
Molecule: unclassified non-coding RNA, 430 nt
Filed under: soil metagenome
Description: partial contains 5.8S ribosomal RNA, internal transcribed spacer 2, and large subunit ribosomal RNA
Rfam family: 5.8S ribosomal RNA (bases 1-120)
Source: RNAcentral